CGUCCAGAGAGUUUGUAUCCGUGGACGUCAAGGAUAAAACGCUGCGGCGCACAUAGACAUGCAAGUCGAACGGACUUAACCAUUAGUUUACUAUUGGAGCGGUUAGUGGCGGACUGGUGAGUAACACGUAAGCAACCUGCCUAUCAGAGGGGAACGAACAGUUAGAAAUGACUGCUAAUACCGCAUAUGCCUUGAGUUACGCAUGUAACGAAAGGAAAGGAGCAAUCCGCUGAUAGAUGGGCUUGCGUCUGAUUAGAUAGUUGGUGGGGUAACGGCCUACCAAGUCGACGAUCAGUAGCCGGACUGAGAGGUUGAACGGCCACAUUGGGACUGAGAUACGGCCCAGACUCCUACGGGAGGCAGCAGUCGGGAAUAUUGCGCAAUGGAGGAAACUCUGACGCAGCGACGCCGCGUGCAGGAAGAAGGUUUUCGGAUUGUAAACUGCUUUAGACAGGGAAGAUAAUGACAGUACCUGUAGAAUAAGCUCCGGCUAACUACGUG
RNAcentral lists this ribosomal RNA (501 nucleotides) under uncultured Oscillospiraceae bacterium. RNAcentral describes it as "bacterial SSU rRNA". It matches the Rfam family "Bacterial small subunit ribosomal RNA", at positions 1 to 507 of the family's 1533-position model. Lineage: Bacteria; Bacillati; Bacillota; Clostridia; Eubacteriales; Oscillospiraceae. The record is from RNAcentral.